CCUACGGGAGGCAGCAGUGAGGAAUAUUGGUCAAUGGGCGAGAGCCUGAACCAGCCAAGUCGCGUGAGGGAGUACUGCCCUAUGGGUUGUAAACCUCUUUUGUCGGGGAGCAAAAGCCGGACGUGUCCGGAUGUGAGAGUACCCGACGAAAAAGCAUCGGCUAACUCCGUGCCAGCAGCGGCGGCAAUACGGAGGGUGCGAGCGUUAUCCGGAUUCAUUGGGUUUAAAGGGUGCGCAGGCGGAAUUUUAAGUCAGCGGUCAAAUCCUGGGGCUCAACCCCAUCCAGCCGUUGAAACUGGGGUGCUAGAGUGUGCGAGAGGUAUGCGGAAUGCGUAGUGUAGCGGUGAAAUGCGUAGAUAUCACGCAGAACCCCGGUUGCGAAGGCAGCAUACCGGUGCACAACUGACGCUCAGGCACGAAAGCGUGGGUAUCGAACAGGAUUAGAUACCCCGGUAGUC
Molecule: ribosomal RNA, 458 nt
Filed under: uncultured bacterium
Lineage: Bacteria
Description: partial 16S ribosomal RNA
Rfam family: Bacterial small subunit ribosomal RNA
Source: RNAcentral